RNAcentral lists this ribosomal RNA (568 nucleotides) under Sebacina incrustans. Its description in RNAcentral is "eukaryotic LSU rRNA". The stretch from base 158 to 311 matches the Rfam family "5.8S ribosomal RNA". Lineage: Eukaryota; Fungi; Basidiomycota; Agaricomycetes; Sebacinales; Sebacinaceae. The record is from RNAcentral.
GUUGCCUUCUGUGCUGGCUUCUGCAAGUGCACGUCGGUGACUUUCAUUCCAAUACCCUUGUGAACCUUUGGCCUCUUGCUAGCUUCCGCUGGCAGAGGAUUCUACAUACAACUCGAAUGUAAUGAAACUCUUGUUGUGCACAAGCACUACUAUAUACAACUUUCAACAACGGAUCUCUUGGCUCUCGCAUCGAUGAAGAACGCAGCGAAAUGCGAUAAGUAAUGUGAAUUGCAGAAUUCAGUGAAUCAUCGAAUCUUUGAACGCACCUUGCACCCUUUGGCAUUCUGAAGGGUAUGCUCGUUUGAGUGUCAUUGUACUCUCACACUUCCGAUCUUGAAUUGGGAGCGGUGGACUUGGGUUUGCUGCUUUACCGUAGCUUACCUCAAAUGUGUUAGUGCAGCUCUUGGUUGGACAUAAUACGGCGUGAUAAGUAUCUUCGCCGGUGCCUCGCAAAGAGGGUGGCCGAUCAGGAUGGUGUGCUCCAAACCGUCUUCGGACAAUCUCUGACAACUUGACCUCAAAUCGAGUAAGACUACCCGCUGAACUUAAGCAUAUCAAUAAGNCGGGA